Molecule: long non-coding RNA, 1177 nt
Organism: Lathyrus oleraceus (garden pea)
Lineage: Eukaryota; Viridiplantae; Streptophyta; Magnoliopsida; Fabales; Fabaceae
Exons: 2
Source: RefSeq, a predicted model, not a curated record
CGCGGCGCAACGACCACAAUAUCUACUUUCAAAACUCACUUUUCAUUAAGCGUGGAAUUGAAACCAAAAACUCUGAUUUGACGUCGCGUGAAUCUCUGAAAUCUACGUCCAAAACUUAUUCACUUAGUCACAGUGUGCUCUUUGAAUCAAACAUCAUGGAAUCAAAAAAGAUGCAAAAAGUCCUAGAAUUAGAAUCUUGAAGCUGAGUCUCAAUGUUCAGGUCUCAAACAACAAUGCGAUAUCAAGAUUCUAGAUCAAAAUCGGAGCGAAAACUCACCGAAUCCGAACCUUUGAUGCAAACAGUUAUUGAAUCCAUUUUAUUCUAUGAUUCCAUUGACCUUCUCUUCUUCUUCUUCUUCUUAUUGAACUUGUGCGUGAGAGAGGAAUAUGAAUGAGAGGAUUGAUGUGGUGCUGUGAGUUUAUGGUGAGCGUGCAAAGAUGAUGAUGAUGAGACUGAGAGAGAGACUCAUGGAGAGUGAGAAUUCGAAACUCUGAAGUGUGAUUGGUCAGAAUAUGAAUCUGAGAAUUUGCAGAAUGAAUCCCCCUGAAUUGUGCAGGAAGUGUUGUUUAUAUAUAAUAUCGAUUUAACAGAGUGAAAACUCUAUUAAAUCUGAGAAGCUUUAGGUUGCGCAUUAAAAUGGAGUUUGUGGAAUUGUUGUGGCUUAAAUGGUGACCUGCCAUAACGGGUAUGAUUUCUGCAGAUUGUAUGUGCCACGGGCUGAACCAUGAAACCGCAGGUCAAAUUCAUUUACUGCUGCUUGGUGAUGUUAGUCAUUAUUUGCAAUGAUGUAGGUAACUUUUUUAUGAUAUGUUCUGAAUCACAUCUGCUAGAAAUUUUGUGCAAGUUAAUUCUGUCAUGGGUUGUUCAGUUAGUUUGGAUUGGAUGUUGUCAUGGACUGCAUAUGCCUGCAACUAAUACUAUGUCACAACUCUGUAGAAGAUUAAAUGGGCCAUGAUGCAGGUCAGACCCCUUGCUGCUGAACCCAGGCGCGUGAAUGAGUUUUGGGGCUCAAGUUUGUAAAGGGAGCCAUGUAGUUUUAGGGAAUAGGAUAUGGAAAUGUACAUGAAAUUGAUUUGAAUUCUUUGGGAGAAUUAAUUGAAUGUUAUGGAUUGAAAAUUGACAAUUGUGUAUAAAUGGAAUGCUAUUUUUAAUGGUAACUUGAGAUUUCUUUUUGAA